Anguilla rostrata (American eel) is the source of this 140-nucleotide small nucleolar RNA. The record is from RefSeq and is a predicted model, not a curated record. Lineage: Eukaryota; Metazoa; Chordata; Actinopteri; Anguilliformes; Anguillidae.
CAUGCACGCUGUUAAAACCCGCCGCCGAGGUCGGCGCGCGGGUGUCGGAAGUGUGCUAGAGCGACCCGGCCGGGUUUUCGCUAACACCAUGAGGGCCUCCGCCCCAUGACUGGGGUUUGAUAGUGACCUGAGCCACACUG